UCUUGUUCAGAUGUUAUGCAUCUUAUAGAUGAAUGAGUAUGAACAACAAUAACAACUUGAUAUGAGAUUCAUUUGAAAUUAUGGUAAAUCAAGUUUUUUAUAAUAGAUGCAUGUGCAUCUUGUCAUUGAACUAAAACAAAGAGUAAACUCGUGGCCACAUAAUGCUCCAUUAAUGGCAUAUAUGGACAAUUACAAACAUAGAAAAGCAUCCAAAAUCUAGAGCUCUACAUGAAUAUAUAUUGUAAAAUGUCAUUUUUAACAUGAUGCUCGACAAUUACAAUGAUGAAAGACUUAGAAACAUAUAAUCACAAUCCCAUAUGGACACGUCGGUUAAAUAACACAAGUACACCACUUCUAUAUAAGAACACCCUAAAUCUGAAACUCGUGUAUGACUAUAGACUCUAUUAUUUUUUUAGAUAACAUAUGAUAAUUGUUCAUUAGGUAAACUAAGUCAUGGUGGGUAUUUAUAAUAUAUGCCCAACUCAAAUCAUCAUCCCUUACCACCACAAGCACAUAAAUAUGAGCAAAAAAAGGAAAUGCCUAAUCUAGGAAUCAUUUUUCAUAUUGUAAAGAUCAAAUACUCAUUUUUAUGAUACAACAAAUCCUUUAACCAAAAUAGAGUUUAGAGUAUAUAAUGUCUAUCCCGUCUGCACACAUUAGUUAACAACACAUACGUUGCCAGUAGCAACGUAGAAAAUCACAUCAAAUUGGGAUCUCACCUUGCACAGAAUAUAAACCCAUAUCAUAGUUGAGUUGGAUAUCUCUGGCAAAAAGUAGAGUUUGGUAUGAUUUUCUUUUCUUGUAUGGUCCUUUAUAUGAUUAAAAAAUGUGCAUAUAAUUUUUUUCUAUUGGUACUAUGCAUAAUAAGAAUAAAGUAUUGUUUAUGGAUCUCAAAAUGUUUCUCCUUGUGAGUAGAAUCAGCCUAACAAAAAUAUAUUUAUUGAUCAUGCCAAAGUUUACUAAAUCAUCAACGAUAGAAUGGUUGCAACUUGAGAAUGGUUAUGGACCAACAUGGAAGAUCGCCACUUAAUCCAAGGAAGUUGAUUUAUGAAAAAAUAAAGGGAGUGUUUCUAUUGAAAAUAACAAAGACCAAAGCAACUCAAUCGAGAGGAAACAUAAAAAAAAGAUGACCAAAAUUAAUAGAGUUUGGCCAAGAAAUCCUAAAAUAUCUUGCAUCAACUACACAACCCAUAAUAACAUAAGCAUGCCCAAUAUCAUUUGAGUGGUUGGUUGAUAUGUGCUAAAUAUUAUUUAUCCUUUUAUACAUGAUUAGUUAUGAGCUUCAAAAGCAUUCUCCUUGCCAAAAGAUCUGAAUAUAAAAAAAGAGCUACCUGAGGAUCACUGUAGAAGGAAUAGAGAGGGGAAUGGUGGAAUCAAUGUUUAUUGCUUGAGUUUCGUGGGGAUAUAUAUAAUAUUAC
Molecule: long non-coding RNA, 1418 nt
Filed under: Hordeum vulgare
Lineage: Eukaryota; Viridiplantae; Streptophyta; Magnoliopsida; Poales; Poaceae
Description: long non-coding RNA (HVUL_LNC017839)
Source: RNAcentral